Molecule: non-coding RNA, 129 nt
Organism: Jackrogersella minutella
Lineage: Eukaryota; Fungi; Ascomycota; Sordariomycetes; Xylariales; Hypoxylaceae
Source: the annotation of a GenBank genome assembly
GCCCGGUUAGCUCAAUCGGUAGAGGUCAGUCAAUUUAUCAUAUUCAGAAUCUUCGUCACAGUAUAUUAACAUUUCUGUAGCGUGAGACUCUUAAUCUCAAGGUUGCGGGUUCGACCCCCGCAUCGGGCU